This 52-nucleotide microRNA precursor is filed under the name Felis catus (domestic cat). RNAcentral describes it as "mir-1302 microRNA precursor family". It matches the Rfam family "mir-1302 microRNA precursor family". Lineage: Eukaryota; Metazoa; Chordata; Mammalia; Carnivora; Felidae. The record is from Rfam by way of RNAcentral.
UUCCUAGUAUAAGAAUGUCCCGUGCAAUAUUUGGGAUAUACUUACACUAAAA